GUGUCAGCCGCCGCGGUAAUACGAGAGGUCCAAGCGUUAGUCGGAAUCACUGGGCUUAAAGGGUGCGUAGGCGGGCUUGUAAGUGUCUUGUGAAAUCCCAUGGCUCAACCAUGGAACUGCAGGGCAUACUGCAAGCCUUGAGGAAUCUAGAGGCCGGCAGAACGAUAGGUGGAGCGGUGGAAUGCGUAGAUAUCUAUCGGAAUGCCAAAGGUGAAGACAGCCGGCUGGGGAUUUCCUGACGCUGAGGCACGAAAGCGUGGGGAUCAAACAGGAUUAGAAACCCGCGUAGUCC
This 292-nucleotide ribosomal RNA is filed under the name uncultured bacterium. Its description in RNAcentral is "partial 16S ribosomal RNA". It matches the Rfam family "Bacterial small subunit ribosomal RNA", at positions 505 to 796 of the family's 1533-position model. The record is from RNAcentral.